This 406-nucleotide ribosomal RNA is filed under the name uncultured bacterium. RNAcentral describes it as "bacterial SSU rRNA". It matches the Rfam family "Bacterial small subunit ribosomal RNA", at positions 355 to 775 of the family's 1533-position model. The record is from RNAcentral.
UUAGGAAUAUUGGGCAAUGGAGGAAACUCUGACCCAGCAACGCCGCGUGAAGGAUGAAGGUUUUCGGAUUGUAAACUUCUGUUCUAUGGGACAAAAAAAAUGAUGGUACCAUAGGAGAAAGCCACGGCUAACUACGUGCCAGCAGCCGCGGUAAUACGUAGGUGGCAAGCGUUGUCCGGAAUAACUGGGCGUAAAGGGAGCGUAGGUUGUCUUUUAAGUUAAAUGUGAAAGACCGGGGCUUAACUCCGGAAAUGCAUUUAAUACUGGAAGGCUAGAGUACAGGAUGGGUAAGCGGAAUUCCCGGUGUAGUGGUGGAAUACGUAGAUAUCGGGAGGAAUACCAGUGGCGAAAGCGGCUUCCUGGCCUGUGCCUGACGCUGAUAUGCGAAAACGUGGGUAGCAAACGG